Molecule: ribosomal RNA, 465 nt
Filed under: uncultured bacterium
Lineage: Bacteria
Description: partial 16S ribosomal RNA
Rfam family: Bacterial small subunit ribosomal RNA
Source: RNAcentral
GACGAACGCUGGCGGCGUGCUUAACACAUGCAAGUCGAACGGAAAGGCCCCUUUGGGGGUACUCGAGUGGCGAACGGGUGAGUAACACGUGAGUAACCUGCCCUUGACUUCGGGAUAACUUCAGGAAACUGGGGCUAAUACCGGAUAGGAAUCCUUGCUGCAUGGUGGGGGUUGGAAAGCUUCGGCGGUUUUGGAUGGACUCGCGGCUUAUCAGCUUGUUGGUGGGGUAGUGGCUUACCAAGGCUUUGACGGGUAGCCGGCCUGAGAGGGCGACCGGCCACAUUGGGACUGAGAUACGGCCCAGACUCCGACGAGAGGCAGCAGUGGGGAAUAUUGCACAAUGGGCGGAAGCCUGAUGCAGCAACGCCGCGUGCGGGAUGACGGCCUUCGGGUUGUAAACCGCUUUCAGCAGGGGCGAAGCUUGUGGUGACGGUACCUGCAGAAGAAGCACCGGCUAACUACGUG